RNAcentral lists this ribosomal RNA (497 nucleotides) under uncultured bacterium. Its description in RNAcentral is "partial 16S ribosomal RNA". It matches the Rfam family "Bacterial small subunit ribosomal RNA", at positions 28 to 507 of the family's 1533-position model. The record is from RNAcentral.
GACGAACGCUGGCGGCGUGCCUAAUACAUGCAAGUUGAGCGCUGAAGGUUGGUACUUGUACCAACUGGAUGAGCAGCGCACGGGUGAGUAACGCGUGGGGAAUCUGCCUUUGAGCGGGGGACAACAUUUGGAAACGAAUGCUAAUACCGCAUAAAAACUUUAAACACAAGUUUUAAGUUUGAAAGAUGCCAUUGCAUCACUCAAAGAUGAUCCCGCGUUGUAUUAGCUAGUUGGUGAGGUAAAGGCUCACCAAGGCGAUGAUACAUAGCCGACCUGAGAGGGUGAUCGGCCAGAUUGGGACUGAGACACGGCACAAACUCCUACGGGAGGCAGCAGUAGGGAAUCUUCGGCAAGGGACGAAAGACAGACCGAGAAACGCGGAGUGAGUGAAGAAGGUUGUCGGAUCGGAAAACUCUGUUGGUAGAGAAGAACGUUGGUGAGAGUGGAAAGCUCAUCAAGUGACGGUAACUACCCAGAAAGGGACGGCUAACUACGUG